RNAcentral lists this long non-coding RNA (422 nucleotides) under Numida meleagris (helmeted guineafowl). RNAcentral describes it as "lncRNA (ENSNMEG00000002276.1)". The record is from RNAcentral. Lineage: Eukaryota; Metazoa; Chordata; Aves; Galliformes; Numididae.
GAAAAAACAACCUUUACUGGCUAGAAUACCUUAGCAUUUUGCACAUCCUUUCAUAGUAACCAGAAUGAUAUAUAUAUGGUCUUGUCAUUAGUGGAAAUUCGUUGGAAGUUGCAAAAUUCCUGACAUGUGCUUUAAGGUACUAAGGCAAAUGCCACAUCAGCUUGAGAAAGAAAAUCCAAGAUGUUGUUGCCCGCACUCCACAGACGUCUCGCUAAGUCUUUAUUCCUGGGCUGAGCCAUACCUACUAUGACCAAUGCUAAUGGAAACAAUCUGUCAGGCUUCUUCAGAAGACCAAGAAUCAGCAGUGGGAAACUACAAUGAAGAAGACAAGAGCAGCAAGUUCGUUAGGAUAUCUCAGUGACUUCUAUUCCCACUUAGUAUCUCAUUCAAUACAAAAAACUGCUACCUGCUUAUCAGUUAAC